UGCGUAUCCGCCGCUCCUGGUCCCGCUGGGUCUCCGGAGUCAGUGGGAUGUUGGCCAGGCUGCACAGCCCGCCGAUGACCUCCUUCUCGGAUUUCCUGAAGUGCUGCAGGGAGGGCAUCUUCUGGGCGGGCACCACGAAGUACUCCAUGCCGGGCGGGGGGCAGCGGAGGGCUGCGGGGCGCCGCUGGGCGCGGGGCCGGGCGCGGAGCGACUGCGCCGGGGCUGGAGCGGGCGUGUGUGUGUGUGUGUGUGCGUGUGUCUCAAGGCGGGAAACAGCUGGUGCGAGCACAGCAGCGCUCCCUCCCCCGGCGGCGCCGCCUCCGCCAGCCACCGGCCCAUGUAAACAAAGGACGGCGCGGGAUUCGGCGGGGAACGGGGCGGAGGGGGGAGCGCGGGGCCGGAGGGGCGCCGUUGGCUGCGGGCGGGGGAUCCCCGCAGCGCCCCGUCUCCCCGAGCCGCGGGGUGCCGACCCGGCCGGUCCCGUCCCGUGCCGGCCCUUCCGAGCCCGGCCCGUUCCGCCCCGUCCUAUCCCUGUCCUAUCUCGUCCCGUUCCGACCCGCUCUAUCCCUAUCCGAUCCCAUCCGAUCCUACGCUGCCCCUUCCCGCCCCCGGACCGUCCCUGCGCCGUCCCCGUCCCCACCUGUGCCGCCCCGUCUGACCCCGUCGCAUCCCAUCUCAGCCCAUCCC
This 687-nucleotide long non-coding RNA is filed under the name Gallus gallus (chicken). Lineage: Eukaryota; Metazoa; Chordata; Aves; Galliformes; Phasianidae. The record is from RNAcentral.